UACGUAGGUGGCAAGCGUUGUCCAGAAUUACUGGGUGUAAAGGGCGCGUAGGCGGGAAUGCAAGUCAGAUGUGAAAUCUCAAGGCUUAACCUUGAAACUGCAUCUGAAACUGUAUUUCUUGAGUGUCGGAGAGGAAAGCGGAAUUCCCCGUGUAGCGGUGAAAUGCGUAGAUAUGGGGAGGAACACCGGUGGCGAAGGCGGCUUUCUGGACGAUAACUGACGCUGAGGCGCGAAAGCGUGGGUAGCAAACAGGAUUAGAUACCCUGGUAGUCCACGCUGUAAACGAUGGAUACUAGGUGUAGGAGGUAUCGACCCCUUCUGUGCCGCAGUUAACACAAUAAGUAUCCCACCUGGGGAGUACGGCCGCAAGGCUGAA
RNAcentral lists this ribosomal RNA (376 nucleotides) under uncultured bacterium. Its description in RNAcentral is "bacterial SSU rRNA". It matches the Rfam family "Bacterial small subunit ribosomal RNA", at positions 524 to 898 of the family's 1533-position model. The record is from RNAcentral.